CGCAGCAGCAGGGGCUGUGCAGACAGGCAGAGCAUCCUGGGAGCCGGACAGGCCUGCGGUCGAGGUGCCACUCACACCCGGCACGCCCGCCCAGCCCCCAGGCAGCUCUGCCAGCAGUGAGCUGCGCCCGCUCCCAUGCAGACCCGGGGCCUGGGACAGCCUCCUGGAGAGGGGACACAGAUGCCUGCAGGCCCGACGCCAGGCUGGGGCCUGAGCCGGGGUCCCCUCACCCCCAGCAGGGGAGGAAACCGAGGAAUCCAGGUCGGCACGCAGGCCGGUGCAGCAGAGGCCGUUCGGUGGACAGGCCGGCCAGCCCUCCUGUGUCCCCCGGCCCUCUCGAGCCACGGACACACAGCCCGAGGGAGCUGGACACACAGCCCGAGGGAGCUGGACACACCGCUGGGUUCCUGCCCACAGCACACUGCUCGCCAGGCUCACUCCGUUUUAACCCUGAACAGUGUGGACAGAACAGCCUAUGGACAAGCCUUUCCCCUCCCCCACCACCUCCUACUUUUUAAAUUUGGGGAGUCCAAGGGCAGCUAGACUGAACAGCCAGGAGGGGAGCACCCCGAGCAGUGGCAGAAGCGCUGUCCUGCGGCGCACUGAGCCUCCCGGCCAGCAGCAGAGCCCACCGUGCCGCGCAGAGAACUGACCCGACGCUACACAGGCUCUCACGCGACGCAGUGCAACUGGAAACCUCAAACAGGGAAAUCUGGCAAACUCCAGCACACGUGGAAAUUGAACACCCAUCACAUAGGAGGACCGGCUCUGAGACUCGCUCAGCAAACCCCGGCAGUGAGUGGGUCGUCCAUGGGCUGAGCUCCAGGGCUCGGGGUGGGGUGGGGACAGAGCUGGCUCGGCGUGCGGCCUGGGGGCUCCUGGACUCAUCUGCAGAUCUGGGGUGUUCCCCGCAAUUUUCUAUGGUUCCCAUGGGGACGUGGCCUCCAGACUGGGAGCCUGCCCUGACACACGCGCGUGACCCUCUUGCCCCCCAGAGCAGCUCCUCAUGGCUCUGAGGCUGCAGUGGGGACCCCACCAGACACACUCCUCCCUUGCUCAUUUAGAACAUGCUGGAAAUGCCUUCAUGGUCAGCUGUGUCCCUCCUCUGAGCCUCGGCUCCUCCCACACGCCCUACCUCCCAUCCUAAUCACCAAGUCCCCUGUCCCUGCCCCAACUCGCCCUUGCUCUUCUCAACUCCACAUCUUUGCACAGGCUGUUCCUUAUGCUGAAAAGCCCUUCCCAUGUGUCCACGGGGCAAACUCUAAUCUACCAUUCAAGGCCUAGCUCAAGGGCCCCCUUCUCCGAGAAGCCUGCCCGGACUCCCCAGCAGAAGCCCCGUGCCCCCGCGCGGCCUGACCCCACUUGGGUGGCAGUGCGGGGAUGGGUGUCUGGAGUCCCUAUCACGUGGGCCCCAAGCAGCCGGCAGUGAGGGGGCUGCCUGAGAAGAGGGCAGCACUGUGAACUGGCGCAGCAGCUCUGCUCCCCAGCACAAGGCCAGACCCCAAAUCCAGGGCCUCCUGGGGAGGCAGGGUUUCUGAUCGACUCCAGGAGAGGCCAUGAUGAUGCAGGGUAGUGCGCAGUGUGCAGUGUAGACAGGACGUGGAGUCCAUAGGUCCAGGUGGACCCCGUGAUGCAGGGUAGUGCGCAGUGUGCAGUGUAGACAGGACAUGGAGUCCGGCGGCCAAGGUCAACCCCGGCUCUGGCGCUCACCUCCUGGCUGUGGCCCCAGGCAACCGCCUGGUCCCCUCUGAGCCAGACCUUCCCCCUGGGCUGAUCAGAAAAGUAAAUCAG
Equus asinus (donkey) is the source of this 1791-nucleotide long non-coding RNA. The record is from Ensembl. NCBI's taxonomy places the organism in Eukaryota, Metazoa, Chordata, Mammalia, Perissodactyla, Equidae.